GACGAACGCUGGCGGCGUGCUUAACACAUGCAAGUCGAACGAAGAGCGAUGGAAGCUUGCUUCUAUCAAUCUUAGUGGCGAACGGGUGAGUAACGCGUAAUCAACCUGCCCUUCAGAGGGGGACAACAGUUGGAAACGACUGCUAAUACCGCAUACGAUCCAAUCUCGGCAUCGAGGAUGGAUGAAAGGUGGCCUCUAUUUAUAAGCUAUCACUGAAGGAGGGGAUUGCGUCUGAUUAGCUAGUUGGAGGGGUAACGGCCCACCAAGGCAAUGAUCAGUAGCCGGUCUGAGAGGAUGAACGGCCACAUUGGGACUGAGACACGGCCCAGACUCCUACGGGAGGCAGCAGUGGGGAAUCUUCCGCAAUGGACGAAAGUCUGACGGAGCAACGCCGCGUGAGUGAUGACGGCCUUCGGGUUGUAAAGCUCUGUUAAUCGGGACGAAAGGUCCUCUUGCGAAUAGUUAGAGGAAUUGACGGUACCGGAAGAGAAAGCCACGGCUAAUAGUCCC
RNAcentral lists this ribosomal RNA (510 nucleotides) under uncultured bacterium. RNAcentral describes it as "bacterial SSU rRNA". It matches the Rfam family "Bacterial small subunit ribosomal RNA", at positions 28 to 509 of the family's 1533-position model. The record is from RNAcentral.